CUGCUGCCUCCCGUAGGAGUUUGGUCCGUGUCCCAGUACCAAUGUGGGGGGUUAACCUCUCAGUCCCCCUAUGUAUCGUCGCCUUGGUGAGCCGUUACCUCACCAACUAGCUAAUACAACGCAUGCCCAUCUUUUACCACCGGAGUUUUCAACCCAAAACGAUGCCGUCUCAGAUAUUAUGGGGAAUUAGUACCAAUUUCUCAGUGUUAUGCCCCUGUAAAAGGUAGGUUGCAUACGCGUUACGCACCCGUGCGCCGGUCGCCAUCAUAAG
This 271-nucleotide ribosomal RNA is filed under the name uncultured bacterium. RNAcentral's name for it is "partial 16S ribosomal RNA". The record is from RNAcentral.